AGAGUUAUAGCUCAGUGGUAGAAUACUUGCCUAGCAUGCAGGAGUCCUGGGUUCAAUCCCCAGCACUACCA
RNAcentral lists this transfer RNA (71 nucleotides) under Heterocephalus glaber (naked mole-rat). It matches the Rfam family "tRNA". Rfam says of the family: Transfer RNA (tRNA) molecules are approximately 80 nucleotides in length. Lineage: Eukaryota; Metazoa; Chordata; Mammalia; Rodentia; Bathyergidae. The record is from Rfam by way of RNAcentral.